CUCCCCCAACCUGUCUAUGCCCAAUUGGCCCACGUGAAUAGCAAAUGGAGAUAGGGCCUUUAUGUUAUUGCGGGGGCGUGGCUAAGAAUUGAUUCAGCAAUGUCAUUGGUUUCUGUCUCACAGCGUUGAGAGUUGCGGGGGUCUUUAAAGUUUUUCCUAGUUAGUUUGUUUUGCUCCCGCCCGGUAGAACUUUUUUUGCUUUUGAGGAGAUACUGCUGCGUUGUUGUAAAACAUGUCGCAUAAACGGUCCUUGGGCUUUUAUCCAAAUCAGAGCGCACACUACAAGACAUGGACGGCAGAUUUGAACUACUGGACGAGGAAGUGAAGAACUUAAGCUCUGAUCGUGUUGAAACUUUCAGCUCCGAUUCCACACCCGCAAAACGGAUUAAAAGAGCAAAGAACACACGUGUUGCUGAGGCUGUAAGACGUUUACACAAUUCUGAAAACAACGCUAUGAAGCUGGAUCCAAAACAAAGUAUCAAUUCUCCACAUAACCUUGCAGUUACGACAUACAUGUUGGA
This is a long non-coding RNA of Cololabis saira (Pacific saury), 521 nucleotides long. RefSeq lists it as uncharacterized. The transcript has 3 exons. The record is from RefSeq and is a predicted model, not a curated record. NCBI's taxonomy places the organism in Eukaryota, Metazoa, Chordata, Actinopteri, Beloniformes, Belonidae.